This 424-nucleotide small RNA is filed under the name Pan troglodytes (chimpanzee). Its description in RNAcentral is "retained intron". Lineage: Eukaryota; Metazoa; Chordata; Mammalia; Primates; Hominidae. The record is from RNAcentral.
GACAGGCUGGGAACCUGGGGCCCUACUCAUGGAGGUGACCCCCCCGGAGGAGCUGCGUCUGCCAGCCCCACCCAGCCCAGAGGUGAGUAGCCUCCCUUCUAAUCCUCCUCCUCCUCCUCUUUGCCCUCCCCCACAAGGACUGCCUCCCCAAGCCCAGGGCCACUGCUAGCUUACAGGGGUCCUUAGUGCAGAUGAUAAAAGAUGCCCCUUUCUACACCCCAUCGUAUCUGGCCUACGCUUCCCAGAUGGGUACCCUUAUGCAAGGUAUGAGCUGCUCAAGUGCAUGGCGACCCCGCACAAGCCCUCUCCAGGUUCCUCUAGGGGCGGGUGUGGGGUCCUGUUAGCAGUCCACCAGAAUGACAGGAAAAGGAGUAAUGGGCAGCCUUGCCCCUACCUGCCCUCCCGACUCAACAGAGGAGGCCCC